Molecule: transfer RNA, 73 nt
Filed under: Halamphora calidilacuna
Lineage: Eukaryota; Bacillariophyta; Bacillariophyceae; Naviculales; Amphipleuraceae
Description: tRNA-Arg
Rfam family: tRNA
About the family: Transfer RNA (tRNA) molecules are approximately 80 nucleotides in length. Their secondary structure includes four short double-helical elements and three loops (D, anti-codon, and T loops). Further hydrogen bonds mediate the characteristic L-shaped molecular structure. tRNAs have two regions of fundamental functional importance: the anti-codon, which is responsible for specific mRNA codon recognition, and the 3' end, to which the tRNAs corresponding amino acid is attached (by aminoacyl-tRNA synthetases). tRNAs cope with the degeneracy of the genetic code in two manners: having more than one tRNA (with a specific anti-codon) for a particular amino acid; and 'wobble' base-pairing, i.e. permitting non-standard base-pairing at the 3rd anti-codon position.
Source: RNAcentral
GCGUUUAUAGCUCAAUUGGAUAGAGUUUUGGGUUUCGGCCCCAAAGGUGUAGGUUCGAGUCCUACUAAACGUA